GCCACGGUGGUGUAGCGGUCAGAACGCUAGGCUUGUAAUCCAGAGGUCCUGGGUUCGAUUCCCGGUGGUGCCC
This 73-nucleotide transfer RNA is filed under the name Zootermopsis nevadensis. It matches the Rfam family "tRNA". From Rfam's summary of the family: Transfer RNA (tRNA) molecules are approximately 80 nucleotides in length. The record is from Rfam by way of RNAcentral. Lineage: Eukaryota; Metazoa; Arthropoda; Insecta; Blattodea; Termopsidae.